Molecule: long non-coding RNA, 523 nt
Organism: Mesoplodon densirostris (Blainville's beaked whale)
Lineage: Eukaryota; Metazoa; Chordata; Mammalia; Artiodactyla; Ziphiidae
Exons: 3
Source: RefSeq, a predicted model, not a curated record
UUAUGAUAUGUAGUUGCCGGGCAGGAGGCUGAUCAUUCAUUGGCAAGUUGUACCUUUUAUUUCUUACAUCCAGUCUGCACAGAGAAAAUUAUGCUGCUACAGGAGAUUUCCAAAUGACAAGAGGUCUUCAGAGACAGAAGAAUAAUGCAAAAUGGUUUUGAAACCAAAACCAGUGAUUAUUAGAGCCUUUCAUGUUUUCCAGACAGGUGAUUAACGGAGGCUGCGGAUCAUCAAUCCCAGGUGUACGAUGCGGGGGUAGGACCAGGACAACAAACUCUAAUGGCGGUGGAGCCAGGCAGAUACUGUAAGGUAACAAACAGGGCAGGCCGGGUGAAGUGGGCCUGCUGGAGGGGAUGUGCUAGCCAUUCGGCUGGACUGGAAACGUUAGCUCAGAGUUAACCUCAUCUGUCCAUUCUUCCAGAGAAGGUAGAUAAUAGGUGAUUUUUGAGUUGUCUUUCAAUUUUUAGAUGGCAACCAUACAUAUUUUUUUUCUUAAAAACGUAUGGGGGCCUCCCUGGUGGCG